RNAcentral lists this ribosomal RNA (253 nucleotides) under uncultured microorganism. Its description in RNAcentral is "partial 16S ribosomal RNA". It matches the Rfam family "Bacterial small subunit ribosomal RNA", at positions 524 to 776 of the family's 1533-position model. The record is from RNAcentral.
UACGUAGGGUGCGAGCGUUAAUCGGAUUUACUGGGCGUAAAGCGUACGUAGGCGGUUAUUCAAGUCAGAGGUGAAAGCCCGGGGCUCAACCUAGGAAUUGCGCUUGUGACUGGCGGGCUCGAGUACGGUAGAGGGGGGUGGAAUUCCUGGUGUAGCAGUGAAAUGCGUAGAGAUCAGGAGGAACACCGAUGGCGAAGGCCGCCCCCUGGGCCUGUACUGACGCUCAUGCACGAAAGCGUGGGGAGCAAACAGG